Molecule: ribosomal RNA, 440 nt
Filed under: uncultured bacterium
Lineage: Bacteria
Description: bacterial SSU rRNA
Rfam family: Bacterial small subunit ribosomal RNA
Source: RNAcentral
CCUACGGGAGGCAGCAGUAAGGAAUAUUGGACAAUGGCCGGAAGGCUGAUCCAGCCAUGCCGCGUGCAGGAAGACGGCCCUACGGGUUGUAAACUGCUUUUGUGCGGGAAUAAACCCACGCUUGCGAGCGUGGCUGAAGGUACCGCACGAAUAAGCAUCGGCUAACUCCGUGCCAGCAGCCGCGGUAAUACGGAGGAUGCGAGCGUUAUCCGGAUUUAUUGGGUUUAAAGGGUGCGUAGGCGGCCGUUUAAGUCAGAGGUGAAAGACGUGUGCUUAACACGCGCAGUGCCUUUGAUACUGGACGGCUUGAAUGCAGAUGAGGUAGGCGGAAUGUGGCAAGUAGCGGUGAAAUGCAUAGAUAUGCCACAGAACACCGAUUGCGAAGGCAGCUUACUAAACUGUGAUUGACGCUGAGGCACGAAAGCGUGGGGAUCAAACAG